RNAcentral lists this ribosomal RNA (869 nucleotides) under Microbacterium testaceum. RNAcentral describes it as "bacterial SSU rRNA". It matches the Rfam family "Bacterial small subunit ribosomal RNA", at positions 622 to 1487 of the family's 1533-position model. Lineage: Bacteria; Bacillati; Actinomycetota; Actinomycetes; Micrococcales; Microbacteriaceae. The record is from RNAcentral.
UGCAGUGGGUACGGGCAGACUAGAGUGCGGUAGGGGAGAUUGGAAUUCCUGGUGUAGCGGUGGAAUGCGCAGAUAUCAGGAGGAACACCGAUGGCGAAGGCAGAUCUCUGGGCCGUAACUGACGCUGAGGAGCGAAAGGGUGGGGAGCAAACAGGCUUAGAUACCCUGGUAGUCCACCCCGUAAACGUUGGGAACUAGUUGUGGGGACCAUUCCACGGUUUCCGUGACGCAGCUAACGCAUUAAGUUCCCCGCCUGGGGAGUACGGCCGCAAGGCUAAAACUCAAAGGAAUUGACGGGGACCCGCACAAGCGGCGGAGCAUGCGGAUUAAUUCGAUGCAACGCGAAGAACCUUACCAAGGCUUGACAUACACCAGAACGGGCCAGAAAUGGUCAACUCUUUGGACACUGGUGAACAGGUGGUGCAUGGUUGUCGUCAGCUCGUGUCGUGAGAUGUUGGGUUAAGUCCCGCAACGAGCGCAACCCUCGUUCUAUGUUGCCAGCACGUAAUGGUGGGAACUCAUGGGAUACUGCCGGGGUCAACUCGGAGGAAGGUGGGGAUGACGUCAAAUCAUCAUGCCCCUUAUGUCUUGGGCUUCACGCAUGCUACAAUGGCCGGUACAAAGGGCUGCAAUACCGUGAGGUGGAGCGAAUCCCAAAAAGCCGGUCCCAGUUCGGAUUGAGGUCUGCAACUCGACCUCAUGAAGUCGGAGUCGCUAGUAAUCGCAGAUCAGCAACGCUGCGGUGAAUACGUUCCCGGGUCUUGUACACACCGCCCGUCAAGUCAUGAAAGUCGGUAACACCUGAAGCCGGUGGCCCAACCCUUGUGGAGGGAGCCGUCGAAGGUGGGAUCGGUAAUUAGGACUAAGUC